AGCAGCCGCGGUAAUUCCAGCUCCAAUAGCGUAUAUUAAAGUUGUUGCAGCUAAAAAGCUCGUAGUUGAAUUUCGGGGUUAGUAGGUUGGUCGUGCCACUGGUACGUACUGGUCUCACUGAUUCCUCCCUCUUGAAGAACCGUAAUGUUAUUAAUUUGGUGUUGCGGGGAAUCAGGACUGUUACUUUGAAAAAAUUAGAGUGUUUAAAGCAGGCUUACGCUUGAAUACAUUAGCAUGGAAUAAUGAAAUAGGACGUAUGAUCCUAUUUUGUUGGUUUCUAGGAUUGACGUAAUGAUUAAUAGGGAUAGUUGGGGGCAUUAGUAUUCAAUUGUCAGAGGUGAAAUUCUUGGAUUUAUUGAAGACUAACUACUGCGAAAGCAUUUGCCAAGGAUGUUUUCAUUAAUCAAGAACGAAAGUUAGGGGAUCGAAGACGAUCAGAUACCGUCGUAGUCUUAACCAUAAACUAUGCCGACUAGGGAUCGGAUGAUGUUAUUUUUUAAUGACUCAUUCGGCGCCUUAC
This 520-nucleotide ribosomal RNA is filed under the name uncultured Glomus. Its description in RNAcentral is "SSU rRNA". It matches the Rfam family "Eukaryotic small subunit ribosomal RNA", at positions 569 to 1091 of the family's 1831-position model. The record is from RNAcentral. Lineage: Eukaryota; Fungi; Glomeromycota; Glomeromycetes; Glomerales; Glomeraceae.